GACGAACGCUGGCGGCGUGCUUAACACAUGCAAGUCGAACGGAAAGGCCCUGCUUUUGUGGGGUGCUCGAGUGGCGAACGGGUGAGUAACACGUGAGUAACCUGCCCUUGACUUUGGGAUAACUUCAGGAAACUGGGGCUAAUACCGGAUAGGAGCUCCUGCUGCAUGGUGGGGGUUGGAAAGUUUCGGCGGUUGGGGAUGGACUCGCGGCUUAUCAGCUUGUUGGUGGGGUAGUGGCUUACCAAGGCUUUGACGGGUAGCCGACCUGAGAGGGUGACCGGCCACAUUGGGACUGAGAUACGGCCCAGACUCCUACGGGACGCAGCAGUGGGGAAUAUUGCACAAUGGGCGGAAGCCUGAUGCAGCAACGCCGCGUGCGGGAUGACGGCCUUCGGGUUGUAAACCGCUUUCGCCUGUGACGAAGCGUGAGUGACGGUAAUGGGUAAAGAAGCACCGGCUAACUACGUG
Molecule: ribosomal RNA, 468 nt
Filed under: uncultured bacterium
Lineage: Bacteria
Description: partial 16S ribosomal RNA
Rfam family: Bacterial small subunit ribosomal RNA
Source: RNAcentral